GAUGAACGCUGGCGGCGUGCCUAAUACAUGCAAGUCGAGCGAACGGACGAGAAGCUUGCUUCUCUGAUGUUAGCGGCGGACGGGUGAGUAACACGUGGAUAACCUACCUAUAAGACUGGGAUAACUUCGGGAAACCGGAGCUAAUACCGGAUAAUAUUUUGAACCGCAUGGUUCAAAAGUGAAAGACGGUCUUGCUGUCACUUAUAGAUGGAUCCGCGCUGCAUUAGCUAGUUGGUAAGGUAACGGCUUACCAAGGCAACGAUGCAUAGCCGACCUGAGAGGGUGAUCGGCCACACUGGAACUUAGACACGGUCCAGACUCCUACGGGAGGCAGCAGUAGGGAAUCUUCCGCAAUGGGCGAAAGCCUGACGGAGCCACGCCGCGUGAGUGAUGACGGUCUUCGGAUCGUAAAACUCUGUUUUUAGGGAAGAACAUAUGUGUAAGUAACUGUGCACUUCUUGACGGUACCUAAUCAGAAAGCCACGGCUAACUACGUG
RNAcentral lists this ribosomal RNA (497 nucleotides) under uncultured bacterium. RNAcentral describes it as "partial 16S ribosomal RNA". It matches the Rfam family "Bacterial small subunit ribosomal RNA", at positions 28 to 507 of the family's 1533-position model. The record is from RNAcentral.